CAUCAGAUGACUGAAAGCAAG
Molecule: transfer RNA, 21 nt
Filed under: Tenodera aridifolia
Lineage: Eukaryota; Metazoa; Arthropoda; Insecta; Mantodea; Mantidae
Also listed under: 1 other name
Description: partial tRNA-Lys
Source: RNAcentral